RNAcentral lists this long non-coding RNA (231 nucleotides) under Elaeis guineensis (African oil palm). Its description in RNAcentral is "long non-coding RNA (EGUI_LNC003175)". The record is from RNAcentral. Lineage: Eukaryota; Viridiplantae; Streptophyta; Magnoliopsida; Arecales; Arecaceae.
GAGACUAAGAGAAUGUGCAGUCAAACUAAGUAGCCUCACUGUGAAUAGCCAAUACACUACAGGUCAAAGGACCAGUCACAUCACUACAGUAUCGAGAAGAUCACUGAUGAGUGAGUAGACAUCCAAGUAAUUUUUUGUAUUGAUCACGCUCAGUGUAAGUUAUUCUCUAACAACCAUCUGCACUCUCACCUUAGUAUCUCUACACCAUAGACUCGAGACUUAUCUGCCCCA